AAGUCGUAACAAGGUUUCCUUCCGGUUGAUAGAUUUAACUACCGAAGCCUCACACAGCGACUCUAAAUCAACUGUGGAGUCUUGCCUAUGGCAAAGACAAUACCGCUGAAAUGCUGUGAUCACGAAAGUGUACCAGCAGCCUAAUCUAGGCCACAGAUCAAGUGGCGGUGGUCUUAGCUUCACAGCUCUAGACUAUAAUAUGACCGGUUCUUAUCCUGACGGUUAAGAGCUUUAACGUUCCGUAGGUGAACCUGCGGAAGGAUCAUUAAAGAGUUAGGGGUCUUCUAGGCUCGAUCUCCAACCCUUUGUAUAAUUACCAUGUUGCUUUGGCGGGCCCCGUCUUUAACCGGACCGCCGGAGGUUAAAGCCUCUGGCCAGCGCCCGUCAGUGGCCCACAACAAAUUAUUUUAACCAUGUAUCUUCUGAAAAUAGUUAAAUAAACUAAAA
RNAcentral lists this unclassified non-coding RNA (447 nucleotides) under plant metagenome. RNAcentral describes it as "partial contains small subunit ribosomal RNA and internal transcribed spacer 1". The record is from RNAcentral.